Molecule: long non-coding RNA, 294 nt
Filed under: Rattus norvegicus (Norway rat)
Lineage: Eukaryota; Metazoa; Chordata; Mammalia; Rodentia; Muridae
Description: long non-coding RNA NONRATT026679
Source: RNAcentral
GCUUAUCUGGCACAGAAGAAUCUUCUGGCCCUGUGGUUUUCAAGCCUGCCUGCACACUAGAUCUCCUGGAGUACUUUCAGAAAAAUAGCGACAGGUCUUUCUGUGGCUCCAUGGAUAAUUUCUUUUAACUGCUAAACAGUAUUUCGCUGUCUUAAUGUUACCCGAGUUAAUGUACCCAUUCAUCAACUGAAGAUUAUCAUGGUUGAUUCUACAUUUUGGCUGCUGCUGUGAAUAAAACUGCUACAAACUUUAAAUUUCAGAUCCAAUAAAGGAGUUAGACCCUCCUGCAUCCCC